RNAcentral lists this ribosomal RNA (652 nucleotides) under uncultured bacterium. Its description in RNAcentral is "bacterial SSU rRNA". It matches the Rfam family "Bacterial small subunit ribosomal RNA", at positions 9 to 656 of the family's 1533-position model. The record is from RNAcentral.
GAGUUUGAUCCUGGCUCAGAUUGAACGCUAGCGGGAUGCCUUACACAUGCAAGUCGAACGGCAGCACGGACUUCGGUCUGGUGGCGAGUGGCGAACGGGUGAGUAAUGUAUCGGAACGUGCCCAGUAGCGGGAGAUAACUACGCGAAAGCGUAGCUAAUACCGCAUACGCCCUACGGGGGAAAGCAGGGGAUCGUAAGACCUUGCACUAUUGGAGCGGCCGAUAUCGGAUUAGCUAGUUGGUGGGGUAACGGCUCACCAAGGCGACGAUCCGUAGCUGGUUUGAGAGGACGACCAGCCACACUGGGACUGAGACACGGCCCAGACUCCUACGGGAGGCAGCAGUGGGGAAUUUUGGACAAUGGGGGAAACCCUGGUCCAGCCAUCCCGCGUGUGCGAUGAAGGCCUUCGGGUUGUAAAGCACUUUUGGCAGGAAAGAAACGUCAUGGGUUAAUACCCCGUGAAACUGACGGUACCUGCAGAAUAAGCACCGGCUAACUACGUGCCAGCAGCCGCGGUAAUACGUAGGGUGCAAGCGUUAAUCGGAAUUACUGGGCGUAAAGCGUGCGCAGGCGGUUCGGAAAGAAAGAUGUGAAAUCCCAGAGCUUAACUUUGGAACUGCAUUUUUAACUACCGGGCUAGAGUGUGUCAGAG